CCUACGGGAGGCAGCAGUGAGGAAUAUUGCUCAAUGGACGCGAGUCUGAACCAGCCAAGCAGCGUGAAGGAUGACUGCCCUAUGGUUUGUAAGUUUCUUUUGUAUGGGAAUAAAACAGGGUAUGCAUACCCUCUUGUAUGUACCAUAUGCAUAAGAAUCGGCUAACUCCGUGCCAGCAGCCGCGGUAAUACGGAGGAUCCGAGCGUUAUCCGGAUUUAUUGGGUUUAACGGGAGCGUAGGUGGUUUGUUAAGUCAGUUGUGAAAGUUUGGGGCUCAACCGGACAAGUGCAGUUGAUACUGGCAGUCUUGAGUACAGUAGAGGGGGGUGGAAUUCGUGGUGUAGCGGUGAAAUGCUUAGAUAUCACGAAGAAUCCCGAUGGCGAAGGCAGCCUGCCGCAGCGUUACUGACGCUGAAGCGCGAAAGCGCGGGGAUCGAACAGGAUUAGAUACCCGUGUAGUC
This 460-nucleotide ribosomal RNA is filed under the name uncultured bacterium. RNAcentral describes it as "partial 16S ribosomal RNA". It matches the Rfam family "Bacterial small subunit ribosomal RNA", at positions 338 to 795 of the family's 1533-position model. The record is from RNAcentral.